This 927-nucleotide ribosomal RNA is filed under the name uncultured fungus. RNAcentral describes it as "eukaryotic LSU rRNA". The stretch from base 522 to 675 matches the Rfam family "5.8S ribosomal RNA". The record is from RNAcentral. Lineage: Eukaryota; Fungi.
UGGAAUCUAACAUGUGUGCGAGUGUUAUCUAACAUGUGUGCGAGUGUUUAUUGUUCUUCAACGAGGAAUCUAACAUGUGUGCGAGUGUUUAUGCUCUAACAUAUGUGCGAGUGUUUACAUUCGCUCUUCAACGAGGAAUCUAACACGUAUGCGAGUGUUAUCUAACGUGUAUGCGAGUGUUACAUGUGUGUGAGUGUUCUAACAUAUGUGCGAGUGUUUAUUGCUCUUCAACGAGGAAUCUAUCGCUCUUCAACGAGGAAUCUAUCGCUCUUCAACGAGGAAUCUUCGCUCUUCAACGAGGAAUCUAACAUAUGUGCGAGUGUUUAUUGCUCUUCAACGAGGAAUCUUGGUCAUUUAGAGGAAGUAAAAGUCGUAACAAGGUUUCCGUAGGUGAACCUGCGGAAGGAUCAUUACCAACCUUUGGUGAGCCUUGGACUCUUCCAUGGUCUCGCRAARCACUGUAUUUAAAACCCGCUCAUAUAACUAAAAACAUGURGUUAACGUAUGAUAAUUAAAAAGAUCACUUUCAACAACGGAUCUCUUGGCUCUCGCAUCGAUGAAGAACGUAGCGAAGUGCGAUAAGUAGUGUGAAUUGCAGAAUUCCGUGAAUCAUCGAAUUUUUGAACGCAAAUUGCACUUCCUGGUAUUCCGGGGAGUAUGCCUGUUUGAGGGUCAGCUUAAAUAAAAUCGGUAUGUUGCUUUUGACAUUUCGGAGUUGGGCUAUCAUAACUACACCAGGUUAAGAGGCCUGAAAUUCAUAUCUUUUUGCGCAUCCUGGACGUGUAUAAUUCAUUUAUCCGUCUUUGGGUGUCAAAUUUUAUUAGGUAUGGUCAUGCAUUGUGAACUCGUACCCACAAUUUUUCGUAAUUUGACCUCAAAUCAGGUAGGGAUACCCGCUGAACUUAAGCAUAUCAAUAAGCGGAGGAA